GCCUGGGUGGCUCAGUUGGUUAAGCAUCUGACUUUGGCUCAGGGCAUGAUCUCAUGGUUUGUGGGUUUGAGCCCCACCUCAGGCU
Molecule: transfer RNA, 85 nt
Organism: Felis catus (domestic cat)
Lineage: Eukaryota; Metazoa; Chordata; Mammalia; Carnivora; Felidae
Rfam family: tRNA
About the family: Transfer RNA (tRNA) molecules are approximately 80 nucleotides in length.
Source: Rfam